Molecule: RNA transcript, 2875 nt
Organism: Dromaius novaehollandiae (emu)
Lineage: Eukaryota; Metazoa; Chordata; Aves; Casuariiformes; Dromaiidae
Exons: 7
Source: RefSeq, a predicted model, not a curated record
AGCCCGGCCGGCGCCUGGGCGGCGGGGCGAGGGGCGGGCGCAGAGCAGUUGCGUCACUGUCUACCGGCCGGAAGCAACGUAAAAAGCGUCCUCAGCGGGCGCGCGCGCCGUGCAGGGAGCGGGAGCUGGCGGCGGGGAGGGGCUGUCGCCGUCGCCGUCGGUCCGGCCGCCGGCAGCCAUGAACCAGUUCAGCUUCGGGUCGGGCGCGGCGGGAGGCGGCUUCACCUUCGGCGUGCCGAAGACGGCCGCCGCCACCACGGCCGCGACGGGCUUCUCCUUCUCCACCUCCGCCGCCUCGGGAGGCUUCAGCUUCGGCACGGCGGCGCAGACGCCCGCCAGCAGCCAGCCGGCCGGGCUCUUCUCCCUCAGCACGCCGGCCAGCACCGCGCAGCCCGCCGGCUUCAGCUUCGGCACGCAGCCCGCCGCCACGGCGGCGCCGGCCGGGGCCGUGUUCUCGCUGGGGGGAAAGGCACCCAAAUUACACUUGGGAGGCAGUAGCACAACUCAAGCUGCAGGUAUCACAGGAGGCUUUGGGUUCGGCGGCUCUGUACCGGCUAGUGCGCCCUCAAGGCAAGCAGCAGCCCCCUCUGGCUUUGUUUUUGGCUCUGCUGGUACCACCGCCACUACCACUGAGUCUGGGACAACUGGAGGGUUUACUUUUUCCAGUGGUAGUGCAACCCAGGCAGCAACACCCAGCUUCAGUAUCAGCACCGUAAGCAGUGCGGCCCCGCAAGCAGCGCCCGCGGGGUUGACCUUUGGAGCAGCGCCUGCUGCCGCUGCCACCGCUGCUGCCACCCUAGGAGCAACAAACAACACAGCCAGCAACUGCCUUCAGCCUUGGGGGACAGUGCUCAGGUCAACUGCCCUCGCUGGGUAACUGCUUCCAUGGCUUGUAUAUCAGCAUUAUGGGGCCACAGCCCACACGCUAUUUCCAACUGGAGUGCAAGGAUUAUACUAAGGUAGCAAUACCAGGGAGCACGGCACCCCGAAAAUGAAUUUUGGAAUGUGGCUUUUGCUGCCUUGCCGGGGCAGUGUGUCAGCCCGAGAGCAAGGGGUGGGGGGGGGGGGGGGUCACAGCCGCCUUCCUUUCUUCGGGGAAAGGAAAGCCCCUGCCUGUCGUGGGGUCUAAAGCAGACGUACCCAUUUAAACACUCCCUUAACGUGCCUAGUGUUUUCCUGUGGCUACUGUUUUACUGUGGGGAAAUGCACGGAGCCAGACAGUCUCCCAGCCUGCUCCUGCGCAUCCUCCCUAGCUUUCGUCAGGCCCUGCAGAGGCUCGUCUGCACAGCCUGCCCGGCUCCGUGAAAGACCGCCUCCCCGCCAAACGGCGCUCAGGAGAAGCACGGCCUACAACAAACAGCCGGUGGCACUGAGGUCACGCCUGUGCAGGGUGACUGGGAAGGAGCUGGCAGGCCGCGCGCACGCUCAGCGGCCCAUUGUGAGGAGCUCCUGACACCUUCACAAGGUCUGCACGCCCGCCGGCGAUGUCACAGCACCGCCAGGGCAACCCAGGGCCCCGUUGCCGGGCAGGCCUCAUUUGCGCACACAGCUUUGGGAGUACCAGCAGACAUGGCUGGCUGCUCUGCCUUGGUGUGCCUUCUCCUGUGUACUCUCCUUGUACACGGGGUCCCCAUACCUGGGGAAAGAGAGGCUUCGGUGCUGUCUGAAGGUACGUACUCCAACGCAAGACCUCCUCUCCCCCACUAACAUUGUCUAAGGGUGAAUCUCCAGGGGCAAGGCAGCGCUCCCACGGGCCCCUACCAGCACCUGGGGGCACAGGCAGAAUAGGGGGCUCCCUUCCAAAGCUGAGAACACUUGAGGAGGAGCUCUUCUGCAGAGACGCGGCUUUCCACAGCCUUCUGCGCCGCCCUCCUGCGCUGCCCACCCUGGGCACACACAAGCAUCUGCCGAGCCUCGGCCCAGCACAGAAGUGGGUCUCGCUCGUGACAGCAGGCUCCUGCUUCCCUUUCUCCCAGCGCAGGAAGGAGGGAGAGAGGAGGAGCAAAACGCACCAAAAGGAGCAGGGGGGAGAAGAGAAGAAUGGGGCGUUUUCUCAAUGCACGGCACCAAACUAGGAUACCACAUGGCAUCCCGCACGUGCUGGGAUGCCACGUCCCCACGGCUGUGAUGCGUGUGCCGCUGCGCUUGGGCUCUUCACGCUUCAGCCCUCCCCUUCCUACCUUUCACCUACCACAGCAUGCACGUUUAUAUUAAACGCUGAUCUCUGGCCACUGUUUUGCAGUACUCUCCCCCAAGGGUUCUGCAGAGGCUGACCCCAGCCCUCCAAAACGCAGAACUGUUGUCGUCAUCGUCGCCAACACUUUGACGCUCGUCAUCUUGACGUUGUUCUUUGCGUUCUGCGUUUGGCUCUACUACCGACUCAAGACCAGGAAAGAAAGGUCUCCAGAGGACGAUGCCGAGGCAUCCGCUUGCCACUACCGCUGCCACUGCGGAGAGCUUCACAGCAGCCUGCAGUGUACCUGCUCCAGGUGUGCUUCUCCGAGCGCAGCAAGCCUAGAGCUCUGCAACAUCUGGGGCAAUGAAGACGACAAUCCGUAUGGCGGCCUUCUCCCAUCCCUGCCUCCUACACCGGGCAUGGGAGAGUUCAGCAGAAGCUCUUCCAGUGACAGUGCCACCACGCAGGAGGAGAACACUGCAGGCGCAGGCGCGCCUGGCACGGGCAGGCUCGAAGCACCAACCGGCGACAAGGCCUGAACGGGUGGCAUCUCGGGCUGGGCACCGACACCAGGCCACGGCACCGUCCCUCCGCCCAGCCUGCCCGCACCGUGCUCCUCCGUCUCGGGCCGGUGCCAUCAUCGCGCCCGGCCACCUGCACGAGGAGGCCCCUGGGCAAUAAAGACGGAGAGGAGGCAGA